RNAcentral lists this ribosomal RNA (253 nucleotides) under uncultured bacterium. RNAcentral describes it as "partial 16S ribosomal RNA". It matches the Rfam family "Bacterial small subunit ribosomal RNA", at positions 524 to 776 of the family's 1533-position model. The record is from RNAcentral.
UACGUAGGUGGCAAGCGUUGUCCGGAAUUAUUGGGCGUAAAGCGCGCGCAGGUGGUUUCUUAAGUCUGAUGUGAAAGCCCACGGCUCAACCGUGGAGGGUCAUUGGAAACUGGGGAACUUGAGUGCAGAAGAGGAAAGUGGAAUUCCAAGUGUAGCGGUGAAAUGCGUAGAGAUUUGGAGGAACACCAGUGGCGAAGGCGACUUUCUGGUCUGUAACCGACACUGAGGCGCGAAAGCGUGGGGAGCGAACAGG